AGUGAACGCUGGCGGUAGGCCUAACACAUGCAAGUCGAACGACAGCACAGUAAGAGCUUGCCCUUACGGGUGGCGAGUGGCGGACGGGUGAGGCAUACAUCGGAAUCUACUUUUUCGUGGGGGACAACGUAGGGAAACUUACGCUAAUACCGCAUAUGACCUACGGGUGAAAGCAGGAGAUCUUCGGACCUUGCGCGACUGAAUGAGCCGAUGUCGGAUUAGCUAGUUGGCGGGGUAAAGGCCCACCAAGGCGACGAUCCGUAGCUGAUCUGAGAGGAUGAUCAGCCACACUGGAACUGAGACACGGUCCAGACUCCUACGGGAGGCAGCAGUAGGGAAUAUUGGGCAAUGGGCGAAAGCCUGAUCGAGCCAUACCGCGUGAGUGAUGAAGGCCUUCGGGUUGUAAAGCCCUUUUGUUAGGGAAGAAAAACAGCAGAUUAAUCCCCCGAUGUUCUGACGGUACCCAAAGAAUAAGCACCGGCUAACUUCGUG
This 492-nucleotide ribosomal RNA is filed under the name uncultured bacterium. RNAcentral describes it as "partial 16S ribosomal RNA". It matches the Rfam family "Bacterial small subunit ribosomal RNA", at positions 29 to 507 of the family's 1533-position model. The record is from RNAcentral.